Molecule: ribosomal RNA, 449 nt
Filed under: uncultured organism
Description: partial 16S ribosomal RNA
Rfam family: Bacterial small subunit ribosomal RNA
Source: RNAcentral
CACUCCUGCGGGAGGCAGCAGUGGGGAAUAUUGGACAAUGGGCGCAAGCCUGAUCCAGCCAUGCCGCGUGAGUGAUGAAGGCCCUAGGGUUGUAAAGCUCUUUCACCGGUGAAGAUAAUGACGGUAACCGGAGAAGAAGCCCCGGCUAACUUCGUGCCAGCAGCCGCGGUAAUACGAAGGGGGCUAGCGUUGUUCGGAUUUACUGGGCGUAAAGCGCACGUAGGCGGACUAUUAAGUCAGGGGUGAAAUCCCGGGGCUCAACCCCGGAACUGCCUUUGAUACUGGUAGUCUUGAGUUCGAGAGAGGUGAGUGGAAUUCCGAGUGUAGAGGUGAAAUUCGUAGAUAUUCGGAGGAACACCAGUGGCGAAGGCGGCUCACUGGCUCGAUACUGACGCUGAGGUGCGAAAGCGUGGGGGGCAAACAGGAUUAGAAACCCUUGUAGUCCCAUG